AGGAGAUGGCUGCGAAUGAGAACAGCCUUGCCAACCACAGCUGCUUACCAGAGGAUCUCAGCCUCUAGCAAGCCUCCUUCUCUCUACCCCUUGAAGCCCUGCAAUGGCGACGCUUCCAUGACAGUGGGAUGCCUGAUAAAGAACUACUUCCCUGAUCCGGUGACUGUGACCUGGUACUCAGACUCCCUGAACAUGAGCACCAGGAACUUCCCUGCCCUCGGCUCUGAGCUCAACGCCAUCACCACCACCAGCCAAGUGACCGGCUGCGGCAAGUCAGCCAAGUACUUCACUUGCCACGUGACACACGCUCCAACCUCAUUCGACAAGAAUGUGACCAUCCCAUGUGUCAACAUCACUAAGCCCACCUUGAAGCUACUCCAUUCAGCUUGUGAGUCCGAAGCAUUCCACCCCACCAUCCAGUUGUACUGCUUCAUUUAUGACCACAUCCUAAACGAUGUCACUGUCAGCUGGCUAAAGAAUGGAGAGAAGAUGCGUGAUACAUUUGCACAAAAUGUCCUAAUCAAGAAGGAAGGCAAACUAGCCUCUACCUACAGUCUACUCAAUAUCACCCAGCACGAAUGGCUAUCUGGAAGCAACUUCACCUGCAACGUCAUGUCCCAAGGCAUGAACUAUGAGGCCUACACUCAGAGAUGCUCAGACGAUGCGCCACGGGGUGUGAAUACCUACCUAAUCCCACCCAGCCCCCUAGACCUGUAUGAAAAGAUGUCUCCAAAGCUUACCUGUCUGGUGGUGGACCUAGAAAGUGAGGAAAAUGUCAUCGUGACAUGGGCCCAAGAGCGCAAGAGGUUGCCUGCAGGCUCAGCAUUCCAGAAGUCCACCAAGCACCGGAAUGCCACAACCAGUAUCACCUCCACCCUGUCAGUGGAUGCCAAGGACUGGAUUGAUGGCAUAGGCUAUAAGUGCAUAGUAACCCACCCUGACUUUCCCAGGCCCAUUGUGCGUUCCAUCACCAAGGCCCAAGGCAAGCGCUCAGCCCCCGAGGUAUAUGUGUUCCCACCCCCAGAGGAGGAGAGCAAGGACAAACGCACACUCACCUGCUUGAUCCAGAACUUCUUCCCUGAGGAUAUCUCUGUGCAGUGGCUGCAGGAUGGCAAGAUCACAAACAGUCAUCACAGUACCACGACGCCUCUAAAGUCCAAUGGCUCCAAUCAAGGUUUCUUCAUCUUCAGCCGCCUGGAGAUCACCAAGGCACUCUGGACACCGGGGAAACAGUUCACCUGCCGAGUGAUCCACGAAGCACUUCGGGAGCCCAGGAAGCUGGAUAAAACAAUAUCCAAGAGCCCUGGUAAUGCCUCCCUCCGUUCCUCCCAGGCCUCAGUGUAGCUGUGGUGGGGAAGGUGGAUGGCAGACAUCCCCUCGCUGUUGUAACACCAGGAAGCUAUCCCAAUAAACACUCAGUGCCUGAUUAGA
Apodemus sylvaticus (European woodmouse) is the source of this 1431-nucleotide non-coding RNA. Lineage: Eukaryota; Metazoa; Chordata; Mammalia; Rodentia; Muridae. The record is from the annotation of a RefSeq genome assembly.